UACGAAGGGGGCUAGCGUUGUUCGGAAUUACUGGGCGUAAAGCGCGCGUAGGCGGGCUAACAAGCCAGAGGUGAAAUCCCAGAGCUCAACUCUGGAACUGCCUUUGGAACUGUUAGCCUAGAGUAUCGGAGGGGACAGUGGAAUUCCUAGUGUAGAGGUGAAAUUCGUAGAUAUUAGGAGGAACACCAGUGGCGAAGGCGACUGUCUGGACGAUUACUGACGCUGAGGUGCGAAAGCGUGGGGAGCAAAC
This 250-nucleotide ribosomal RNA is filed under the name uncultured bacterium. RNAcentral describes it as "partial 16S ribosomal RNA". It matches the Rfam family "Bacterial small subunit ribosomal RNA", at positions 524 to 773 of the family's 1533-position model. The record is from RNAcentral.